CAGAGAGGAUGUACACGGAAAUGUGUAUUCAGCAGCACCGGGGAAGAAAAAUGAAAGAUAGGCUACAUGUGAACUUUUUUUAUGAAACUUUUUUUCCCACCUCAGAUGAUAGGAAGGGAAAAGGCAAAGUCAUUAUUAUCAUGGUAAAUGGUUUCACAUCAACAAAACCCAGAGCUUCCGAAGGGGCUGAAGGAUGAGGGCGGUGGACCCGGUAAAGUCUCCGAAAGCUCUGCAUCGCUCACGAACUUCUGAACGCAGAGCUUCCUCUCGGCCCUUUCACACCGACGCUGAUGUUCUCGCCGCCUGCCAGCUCAGUGUGUGACCUUCCGUUCACAACUUGUAGCCGUCACUGAUGUGGGGCAACGGCGAUGGCCAACAGAGAGGCGGACGGGCGGGCACGUGCCAACACGCUGAGCACUGCACCCUCUUUUGACACAGCAGGAACGCUGUUUUCCCACACAGGCUUUAGAAAACCAAACAAGUUCUCACAACUGUUCUUUUAGAUGAUAACCGAGAGGUUUAUGUAAUCCUCUGCCUAUGUAAUCAGAAGAUCAGCACACCGCUCACAUUGUUUUGUUUUUUUUGUACAACCACCACAUAGCAUAAAACAUGGUGGCAUGACUGAACAGCCUCUAUAAAAGAUAAAGACUGUGCUUUAUUACAACAGAGGUAUCCAACAUCCCGGCCGGGCCACACAUACGCUGUGUGUGAGACGGGCCCACAGGGUAGAACCGGGUCCUCGUUCACAGGUCCACUGCAACCGAUUAGGCCUGCUCACGUUUGCCACAUCAAAUAGCUGCUUAAAAAAAAGGUCAUCAGUUGUUUCUGCGCGUCAUUGUCCUGCUCAUGGGAUUUUCAUCUACAAGACACACACAUCUGAACAAGGGCAGGUUUUAACGUCAUCUCCAGAUGUUCCAUCCUCUGGAGGUUGUUUUUUUGUUUCUCUCAAAACGAUGCCUCGCGGAGCUUUUGCGUCGUCUGUCGCCAGCAGUGCGUCCGCAUCGCGACGCGCGGGAAUUUGUCCAGAGCUGACGAACCGCGCCGUGAUCUUAACAUCGCAGACAAUGGCCGACUGUGGCUCCUCCGCAGCCCCCGAGGCGCAGCGCCUUCGGUCUCUCUGCAAUGGAACUUUGUGUGGGCUGCGAGCUCGUUGACGUCGGCUCUCGCAAAACUUCCACAUGAAAUGCUUUUGCGAUGUCAUAUCAUGCAGAACAGGCGCAGUUAUCCCGACGACUACGGCAGUGGAUUGUGCGGCAGAUCAAACAGGCCCGGCCUGGGGCGCAUUAUAUCAGAUUUCAUUUUGAGUCGAGGCCCUUCAUUCAUUUCUGACAUUUACAGUUGGAUUGGGUGCACCCCUCUCCGAGGCCUCUUGGCUCUCAGUCUGCACUGAGGCCCCACCAGCCACUCUGGAAAAACCCAGUGCAUCUGACUUGCAUUGCCUGGCUCCACUUGUGUGUUCUGUUUGGCCCGUGCCGUUGGAGGAGGAGAGCAGGCCAAUUACCAGCCGCCGCUCUGAGACCAAUAUGAUGUCAUCCUCCCGCUCCGCCAUAACAGGCUGCAGAUGAGAGGGGGCUGGGCCUCUCGGCAGCCUCAUUCGCUUAAUGAAAAGCAGCCAAGUAUUAUUGAAAAAAAGAAAGAAAAGAAAUCAAAACGAUAUCGAAUAUCUGUUAACAUUAACAUAUUCCUUCAUCUUAACUUACUUAUUAUCCAUUAAAGUGGUCUCUAAUGCAUCGCAGCCCGCUGGGAGCACAGCAGACUGGAGAUAGCAGAGAUAAUCGCUCACUGUUUAUCUCGUGAGCCAGGGCACCUUGUUUGAAUAAGGCUGAUAACAGCCCAUGAGAAAACAGCGGGAAUGCCAUUGUGUAUUAAGGGCCGUGCAUUUCACAGAUGUGAAGCGGAAGUUUUUCAGAGGCAGAGCCUCAAAUGGGUUAUCAACUCGCCCCACCCGUAAGGAAAAUCACCUGCGCGAUGGAGUUGUUGUGCCCUUUCACCCGCAGCCACACUCCCUCAUUCCUCGAAAAAGCAGCCGGCAGCCAGUGUGUCCCCGCAUGUCAACGGAGACAGUUUAACAACAACGCCGAGAGUGGCGGGGGGACGUACACCCCGAUGCAGGCCCAUGCACCCGGUCCACACUCCAAACGCACGAUUGCAAAAAAAAAAAAGGACUUCAGCGCCGUCCCAGAAGGCCUCGCUUUUCCAAAGGAAGUCUUGAAGCCACAUCAGAGAAUCUGGGGGGGCCUGUGGCCUGCAACAGAUCUCCUCUCAUUUCCCUGCAUACUCCAUCUCCAACGCCCACCAACCACACUCUAUGUAUAGCCUCAGGAGAUGAUAUAAAGCCUGAGCCGAUAGCUCAGAGGAUAAACAAAUGGCAACCUUUCCAUAUGGUAGCUGUUGUUAUCUGUGGAAAUGUAAAUCAUUGAGGUUAGUAUUGUUGCUGUGUGUCAGAGAUACACUAAGUCUGCCUGGGUGAUGGGAGAGAAGGAAAAGAGUUUUAAUCGCUCAAACUCGAGAUAGCAAUCGUCCAAUAUAGUUACUGAGACCAAACCACAAACCUCUUGGGGGCGCUAGAGGAAAUGUCGGGCGUUUUCCAAAGUCGAGAGGAGGUGUCCUCUUGUCACCAAGAAUAUCUGUGCAAAAUUUCUCAGCAAUACAUCGAAUAGUUGUUGAGAUAUUCCUGUCUGGAGGAAAGCAUUGGGCCGACCGACUGUCCAUAUAGAGCCACGAGGCUAGUAAUGAUUACCUGUAGUCCUAAGAUCUGGGCUGCAAGACAUUCAAGCAUCACUUGAGGGCGACUUACCCUCAUCUCCUCCCCACCUGUAGAUACACUAUCAAAAAUAUAUUGGUAUUUGUAGUGGGAGAGUGAAAAAGCUUUGGCGGUGAAUUCCUAUCUAAAUCUUCACAAGCCGCGCUUCAGAUAUGGCUCAGGGGAGGGAGGGUGAAGCAAGGUCAGGCACUUAACCUCAGCAUGAGGCAUGGACUUAAUACCUUUACAAAUGGAAAAAAAAAGAAAAAGACUAUUGGUGUAAUAACUCAUGAUUAAUGAACGGUAAGAAAUGCUGUGAUUUUUUUUCUCUCUGCUGAAAGUGUUGAGGUUUAAGACGCUGACCAUGCAUCAGAUAUUGGGCCUUUAAUGCGGGACAUCAAUCAAAGCAGGACAUCCCAACCAAAAUAAUCUUGGGUGUCCCCAGGUGAUCAAAGGAAUAAAAAAGACUUUAUAUCAUACUGCAUAUUUAAGUCUUUCGUGCUCUGCUCAAUGUGUGAAGGGGGAAAAAAAUCGGCUGCUCACACUUUUUCUUAUGAGAGGUCACAAUUAGACGCUGCUUCAUUCCUAGUCUUUUGUCUUUGGACAGCGGGUUUUUGCCAAAGACGAUGUUGUCAUGUGACCGGGCCUCUGUCAUUUGUGCUAGGCUAACUGGCUGCAUUCUGUUUAUAGUCCCAUAUUUGUGUGACACAUUGGUCACUCGGAGAGUGGCAGAAAGCAAUACGCGUAUUUGCAAAAAUGUCAAACUUAUUGCUUUAACGGGUCCACGAGCCAAAAGGGUUGGGAACCACUGCUUUGUCGCAUGUCAUCUUUCACUUCUGUCACUAUUAUGUAAAAGCAAAUAAUGACGGAAAUGAUUGACUUAGGCAGAAAAGGAGCACAACUUCCACCCAGUCGUCCAAUCAAAGCUCCACCCUCCAUCACGUUUGCAAGAUUUACGACUAAAAAAUGCUUGUAAGCACGACAAUUGUCUAUUCUUCCGCCAUACUUUCAAAACGUAUCCUCCUCUUUCCUGGGGGCUGGCUCCUCUCUAAAGCCCCCCACCUUGUCAAUGUGUCUUUGCUUCUGUGUGUGUCAUAGAGACUGUGUGAGCUGUGCCCCGCUUCGCAUUCCUCUGCCAUCCAACCUCUGUCCAGCCAGGACUUUCCCACAGAACCCUAAACCCUGUGAAUGAGAGUAGACCUUUGUUUCGGGCAUUUUUCAUCCUGAUCCCGGCAACUUCCCCGUGGUGGAAUGCAACAGGAAUGCCAGCGCCAGCUACCUGGCAUUAGAGAGUCUUUGUGCGGAAAUAGGAGAGGCUGAAGGAGAGAGCAGGUCAAAGAGGCCUGACAAUGGAUCGCUCACUUCUCAAGGUGCCCAGCCCAUAGUGCAGAGCCAGUGAAGCCGGGUCAGGUCUCCUGAACACGGCAAGGUGCACCGAGGAGAAGUGAAAGAGAAAAAAGAAGUCGCCUUUCUUUGAUCGGAGCCAGUUUCGCUAUGAACAAGUUGUUCUCCUACUGCACAAAUCAUUAACUGGAGCGCUGAUGUAGCAACUGAUUGGCAUGUAUACUCAGGCACACAACUUCACAAGUUGUUGUGGGCUUAUCGCGAGCGGAGCGCCGCAACGGUGAGGUGGUUACCCUCGAGGUGCAAUUCCAUUCAUUCCUGUCAACUGAGGGACCGGGGCGGAAGGAGAAUUUCAAUUUAGGGAUGCCAUGAUUUAUUGUGAUACUGAUCUGACGAUGUUUAGAUGAGUUGUUUUUUUUUACCUCGUCAAGUCGCAACAAGAGUUAAUUUUUUCUUUGCUUUUGGAUGACAUUCGGUUGUUGUUCCUCGGUUGGUGCAAAGCACUUGCAGGACCCAAAAUGAAAACACAUCGUACCAUAAAUAACAAGACAUCCACACU
Scophthalmus maximus (turbot) is the source of this 4646-nucleotide long non-coding RNA. RefSeq lists it as uncharacterized. The record is from RefSeq and is a predicted model, not a curated record. NCBI's taxonomy places the organism in Eukaryota, Metazoa, Chordata, Actinopteri, Pleuronectiformes, Scophthalmidae. The transcript has 3 exons.